This 75-nucleotide transfer RNA is filed under the name Rhodospirillaceae bacterium. RNAcentral's name for it is "tRNA-Glu". It matches the Rfam family "tRNA". Rfam says of the family: Transfer RNA (tRNA) molecules are approximately 80 nucleotides in length. Their secondary structure includes four short double-helical elements and three loops (D, anti-codon, and T loops). Lineage: Bacteria; Pseudomonadati; Pseudomonadota; Alphaproteobacteria; Rhodospirillales; Rhodospirillaceae. The record is from RNAcentral.
GACCCCAUCGUCUAGAGGUUAGGACUCCACUCUUUCAAGGUGGUAACACGGGUUCGAAUCCCGUUGGGGUCGCCA